GUAGUCACCGUGACGUCACCCAUAGGUUUCUGAGGAGCGGUUUUGAAGCUCAAAGUGGGCGGUUCUGGCUGUCGCCAGCUUAGCAGUGCCUGACUCCGCCCAACUCCUGGCCAAUCAAAAAUGAGCCAAAGAGGCCAAAUGACACCUGGUUGCUUAAACACGCCCACCUCGCUCAAAGCUGCUAAGUUAGCUAAGGCUAACAAACUAGGCUACUUUGGCUAGCCUUGUGGCAUUGGCUGUUCCCGCUUGAUGCCACCUCCCUCACGAAACUUGAGUAAAUCACCGGUAUUGAGGUCAUGGCCGCUUGUGAUGCCUCCACCACGCCUGCUGCACACAGCAGAAACUGCACGGUGUGGAUCAUUGGUGACAGCUAUGUCUGCUGAGACCCUGGGAAGCAACCUCGGCCUGCCGGGCACCCGUGUCUGCUGGUUUGGCUGGGGUGGAAGGCUGGUGCCAAGCCAGCAAAAAUUGAUAAGGCCAGGGAAUUUGUUAACAGUGUUAUGGCUACAUUUGGUCAUAGUUUAAAUGGUAAGAGCACCCUCACAUUAGACAUGACAGUCCUAGGCUAUUUUUGAAAGAUAGAGUUCAUUUCACACCUAGGGGAAAUGACAUUGAGAUCCGAACUGUGAGUUUUGCACCCCUAGUGUUAACAUGUCAGCUUUGUAGAUUAUAUUUUGUAUGUUGUGCGUUUAGAUAAGAGUGUGUAA
Long non-coding RNA from Thunnus maccoyii (southern bluefin tuna), 707 nucleotides. RefSeq lists it as uncharacterized. The record is from RefSeq and is a predicted model, not a curated record. NCBI's taxonomy places the organism in Eukaryota, Metazoa, Chordata, Actinopteri, Scombriformes, Scombridae. The transcript is spliced from 3 exons.